This 253-nucleotide ribosomal RNA is filed under the name uncultured bacterium. RNAcentral describes it as "partial 16S ribosomal RNA". It matches the Rfam family "Bacterial small subunit ribosomal RNA", at positions 524 to 776 of the family's 1533-position model. The record is from RNAcentral.
UACAGAGGGGGCAAGCGUUGUUCGGAAUUACUGGGCGUAAAGGGCGCGUAGGCGGCCUUCUAAGUCGAACGUGAAAUCCCCGGGCUCAACCCGGGAACUGCGUCCGAUACUGGAGGGCUUGAAUCCGGGAGAGGGAUGCGGAAUUCCAGGUGUAGCGGUGAAAUGCGUAGAGAUCAUGAGGAAGACCAGUGGCGAAGGCGGGUCUCUGGACAGUUCCUGACACUGAGACACGAAGGCCAGGGGAGCAAACGGG